CGCGGUAACACCGGCAGCCCAAGUGAUGGCCGAUAUUAUUGGGCUAAAGCGUCCGUAGCUGGCCCGUGCAAGUUCGUCGGGAAAUCCACUCGCUUAACGAGUGGGCGUCCGGCGAAAACUGCUCGGCUUGGGACCGGAAGAUCCAAGGGGUACGUCCGGGGUAGGAGUGAAAUCCCGUAAUCCUGGACGGACCACCGAUGGCGAAAGCACCUUGGAAGGACGGAUCCGACAGUGAGGGACGAAAGCUAGGGUCUCGAACCGGAUUAGAUACCCGGGUAGUCCUAGCCGUAAACGAUGCUCGCUAGGUGUGGCGCAGGCUACGAGCCUGCGCUGUGCCGUAGGGAAGCCGUGAAGCGAGCCGCCUGGGAAGUACGUCUGCAAGGAUGAAACUUAAAGGAAUUGGCGGGGGAGCACUACAACCGGAGGAGCCUGCGGUUUAAUUGGACUCAACGCCGGACAUCUCACCAGCUCCGACAGCAGUAAUGACGGUCAGGUUGAUGACCUUACCCGACGCUGCUGAGAGGAGGUGCAUGGCCGCCGUCAGCUCGUACCGUGAGGCGUCCUGUUAAGUCAGGCAACGAGCGAGACCCGCACCUCUAGUUGCCAGCAGCAUCUUGCGAUGGCUGGGUACACUAGGGGGACUGCCGUCGCUAAGACGGAGGAAGGAACGGGCAACGGUAGGUCAGUAUGCCCCGAAUGAGCUGGGCUACACGCGGGCUACAAUGGCCAAGACAGUGGGAUGCGACACCGAGAGGUGAAGCUAAUCUCCUAAACUUGGUCGUAGUUCGGAUUGCGGACUGAAACCCGUCCGCAUGAAGCUGGAUUCGGUAGUAAUCGCGUGUCAGAAGCGCGCGGUGAAUACGUCCCUGCUCCUUGCACACACCGCCCGUCAAAGCACCCGAGUGGGGUCCGGAUGAGGCCUGGCUACCAGGUCGAAUCU
This 940-nucleotide ribosomal RNA is filed under the name Natronomonas pharaonis. RNAcentral's name for it is "bacterial SSU rRNA". It matches the Rfam family "Archaeal small subunit ribosomal RNA", at positions 466 to 1410 of the family's 1478-position model. Lineage: Archaea; Methanobacteriati; Methanobacteriota; Halobacteria; Halobacteriales; Natronomonadaceae. The record is from RNAcentral.